Molecule: long non-coding RNA, 6069 nt
Filed under: Gossypium barbadense (sea-island cotton)
Lineage: Eukaryota; Viridiplantae; Streptophyta; Magnoliopsida; Malvales; Malvaceae
Description: long non-coding RNA (GBAR_LNC000529)
Source: RNAcentral
UGAGAUUUGGUUUGAUUAAAUGGGUAAAAUGCUAAGUGUAUUAAAGAUGAUGUAAUGGUUAUUUCGUUUUAUGUGAAGUAAAUAUAGAUGAUGGUUAUAAGCUGUUUUAUGAUUUGAUAAUGGUGAUUAAAUCUUGGAGUUAAGUGUUUAGAUAUAUAUAUUAAUAAUGAAUUUAGUGUACUUGCUAUGUGAGAAAUAUGCAAUGCUAUAGGUGUUUGAUUAUUAGAUAUGGUUAUUCUAAGUUGAUUUGUAAUGGUAUGAUUGCAUUGAUGAAUUGGUUUGGAAAUGGUGGACAAUAUGUACAUGAAUAUUAGAAUAGGGCUUUAAGUUCAUAUUGAUAAGUAUGCAAUAUAGGUAUUUGGUAUGUAUAUAUAUUGUUGAUGUCGUAUGCAUUGGUCUUUUUUUUUAUGAUUUGUAAUGGUAAAAAUAAAUUUGUAUCACUUUUGUGUUAUUUAUAUAAGUGGCUGUAUGUUCGGCCAUGGUAAUUGGCUAUCUAGGUUCCAUUUACAAUGGCAAGUAAUGUGAAUUCUUGGUUGUGCAUGUGAAUUAGGUAUUAGUGAAAUAAACAUAAAAGUUAGUCAUGGUAUAUUUCAUAAACACAUUAUGCACUGAAGUUAUACGAUUAUCAACUGUGACUAUUAAAGAAGUAAUGUUGAAUAAGUAAUGAAACAAAUUCAUUUGUUUUAAUUAAGCUCAUGAGCAAAGAGGAUCUAAAUCAGAUAGGGGGAAAGAGAAAGCCGUAGAGUAGCCUAUCCGCAGUUGCUCAAAUAAAUAAAGUAAGUUCUCAAGUAAUUGAGUUUGAUUCCUUUGUAAGUUUUAAGUUUUAAAACGGGAUGAAUGUGAAUUAUGUAUAAACGUUAAGGUCAAUGACUUUUCUAAAUGACGGCAUAUAUGAUAUUAUGUUUUAAAUAUGUGAAUGAGAACUUUACAGAGUAAAUUGUAUAAAUCUGCUAGGGACAGCAGCAGUAGCGUGUUUUGGAAAAAUUACCAUAAAUUGUGGGAGUUGAGUUAAAGGCUGAAUAAAUUAUGUAAUUAAAGCUUGAUGCGUCUAGUUUCGUAUAAAAGAAAUCGUGUAAGUAAAGGGGUUGCCGAUAAUGAGAUUUUCAAAGUUGUGUGAGACAGAGUCAGAACGGCUCCGAAAUCCCCUGUUCAGUAUUUGGAAAAUCAUUAUAAAUCGUACAAAAAUGAUUAUAAGAUAAAAUUAUAUGUUUAGACUCCUGAAUGAGUCUAGUUUCAAACAAAAUAAACGAAAACAUAUUUUGAAUUCUGUACAUUGAGAAAUUAAAUUCUUAGUGAAGAGUAGUCAGAGUAGUCAGAUGGAUCUUUGAUAUUAAAAUUUGUGAAAUUGUAAGUUUAUAAGUAUUCGAAUAUGAAAUGAUAGUAUGGCUUGAAAUUGAAUUAUUCAUUGGAAAAUGAUAGAUGUAGAUUCAGCCAAGACAAAGUGUAUACAUGAAAGUAUAUGUGGUAUGUGAAGUAUAUUUGGAUAAUUGUGAUGUGAAUACAUGAAAAUUUAUAUUUUGAUUUAGGAUUUUAUGUGAUAAAUGUGAACGUGUAUAUAUGAGAUAAGGCCGAAUGGAAAAUGUGAUGAAUGUGAACAUGCAUAUAUGAGAUAAGGCCGAAUGGCCAAUGUGAUGAAUGUGAACAUGCAUAUAUGUGAUAAGGCCGAAUGGCCAAUGUGAUGAAUGUGAACAUGCAUAUGUGUGAUAAGGCCGAAUGGCCAAUGUGAUGAAUGUGAACAUGCAUAUGUGUGAUAAGGCUGAAUGGCCAAUGUGAUGAAUGUGAAUAUGCAUAUAUGUGAUAAGGCUGAAUAGCCAAUGUGAUGAAUGUGAACAUGCAUAUAUGUGAUAAGGUAGAAUGGCCAAUGUGAUGAACGUGGAAGUGUAUAUAUGUGGUAAAGCCGAAUGGCUAAUGCGAAAUGUGUAUGAGAUGGAUAUGAGGUAAAGCCGAAUGGCUAAUGCAAAACGUGUAUGAGAUGGAUAUGAGGUAAAGCCGAAUGGCUAAUGCGAAACGUGUAUGAGAUGGAUAUGUGGUAAAGCCAAAUGGCUAAUGUGAGAUAUGUAUGAGAUGUGUAUAUAUAUAUAUUGUGGCCAAAUGACAAACGGCGGAAGGUGUGUUUAUUAGAUAUUUGAUGAGGUAAAUGAAUUACAAAUAUGAUAGUCGAUGUGAAUGUUGUAACAUGUGAAUAAAUAUGCAUGAAACUCUAUGAUGUAAACCCGGGAUUAAAGACCAGAUGACCAUAUGUGGUGACUAUGUCUGGGUUAAAACUCGCUGACUCGUGUGGAGAUUUCAUCUGAGCUAAAGGUCUCGCCGAUAAUCCGAGUAGAGUUUAAAGCUAUAAGACUUCGCAAAAUGAAUUGCUUAUAAAUAUAUUCAAUGCGAAAGGUUAAACAGGUAUGUACUCCAAGUUUAUAUGUGAGCUUGAUUUGAACUAAAUCAUAAGGUAAUUAUGUGAUGCAUACGUGAGCAAUCUAUGAGACUAUUCCUAUGAUUAUGUGACAUCGGAUCAGUGUGAGAGGUUAUGUGAAAUUAUACAAUAUAUCUAUGUCACAUGAGCUCACUUUUAUGUGAAAGUUUAUCUGCCUAUCGUAUAUGAUGAGAUGUGCAUAUUCGGUAAAGGGAUGGUAUGUCCGAAGGAAGAGUGAAAUAAAAAUACGAACAACUAUGUUAUAAUCUGAUUGUUAUCUGUUGACACUACUUAAAACUUACUAAGCAUUGUAAUGCUUACUCCGUUUACUUUGUUUCCUCUGUUUUAUAGAUCUCAUUUGGAAGCUACUGACUCGGGGAUCGUCAGCAACUAGUCACACUAUCACUAUCCACUUCUUGUUACUGUUAUGUUUUGAAUUAUUUUAUGGCAUGUAUAGAAUAGACCAGUGGCCGAAGAAUAUUUUGGUUAAUGUAUAUAAGCCAUGCGAAAAUGGCAUCUUUUGAAUGUGUACUUAUAGAAGUUUAAAUUUGUAUCCCUGACUGUCUUUAGUAUUUAUCUAAAGGAAUGUUCUCAAAAAAAAAUUUACUGUUCUGAUAUGAGUUUCAAGUCUGGUAAUGCCCCUUCACCUAUUCUGGUGACGGAUACGGGAUAGGGGUGUUACAUUUUAUUUGGUAUCAGAGGCACGAUUUAGUCAAUUCUAGGACUAACGUAGCACGCGUGAGUCUAUUUAUACAUGUCAUAAAGUGAUAAAAUGAUAGUGUGAUGAUUUUUGACUAUUAAAAUGUGUUUGUUGUAUUGUAAUGAAUCUUGAUCGCGAUCGAGCUGUAGCAAGCUUCUGACUAUGAGAAUUUGCGAUAUAUCUUCACUUGGACAUGCUCGAAUUAUUAAGUUGAUCAGGUACGUAUCAUGUACUCGUAUUUGAAUUUUGAUUUGGAUUGAAUUAUAAGGGUAUAAGUGAUGCAAUUUUGAAAGAGUGUUAUGACUAUAAAUGUGAUCUUUGUAUGUGGUUAUGGAACUGAAAGUUGAAUGGUCGAUAAGCAUGUUGUGUUUGUAUUCAAGUAAUGUAAAUGAUAUACUAAUGUGUAUUGUUAUAUAUGUAUAUAUACAUGAGAAUUGAGAGUUAUAUAUAUCCGGGCUAAGUCCCGAAGAGCAUUCGUGCUAGUGAUAUAUCCGGGCUAAGUCCUGAAGAGCAUUCGUGCUAAGUUCCGAAGAGCAUUCGUGCUAGUGAUAUAUCCGGGCUAAGUUCCGAAGAGCAUUCGUGCUAGUGAUAUAUCCGGGCUAAACCUCGAAGGCAUUCAAGCUGGAAUUAUGCGGCACUGUGUGUGCAAGUUCUCCAACCGAGCACUAUGUGUGCCAGAUCAGUAGUUGAGGCACCAUGUGUGCGAGUUCUUCAAUCGAGCGCUAUGUGUGCGAAAUCAGUCAGUGGGCACUGUGUAUGCGAAGUGUGUUUCAUGUAUGACCUCGUGUGAGACGAUGGCAUUGAUUUGUAAUAGUAAGUAAGACCUAAAGAGAAAAUUCGAGAAACAGACUAAACACUGGUGAACUAAUUAGAGUCAGAGAUUAUACAACAUUGUGCUAAAUUGGUAAUGAAAUAAGUUCGAGACAUUAAAUUGACAAGGUAUGUGAUAUAUAUAUACAUUAUAAAUACGAGAUUCUCGGUAUAUGCAGUUAUAUGUGCUAUUGUGAAUAAACACUAUUUUGUUAAUCAUGUUCAAGAAAUUAUUUUGACUAAGUUUCGACAUUUGAAAGUUGGUAAGAAUUUCUGAUGAAUGGUGAUAAUUUUGGAUAUAUGAGUUAUGUGCUAGAAUAAAUCUCAUGCCAGUAUAUUAUAUUAGGCUUUAUGCUUAUUCGACUGUAUACGGGUAACGUUAACUAUGAAAGAAUGUGCUAAAUGAAAUAAAUGUUCAGGUACGUGGAAGUUGAUUUUCCUUUGGAAAUAAGUUAAGUUAAAUAUUGAUGCAAGAUGUUAACAUAAUCUCGUAUCAACUUAUAUAUGUUGCUGAAUUGAGAAUUUAAAACCUUCAGCUACUGUAUCAGUGGUUACUUGAAAUAGCCGAAGAUAAAGGAUAGUAUUAAAUUCUUAUUGAUAGUGUUUUAUUGAUGAAUGGGUGUGUGAAAGAUUAUCUAAGUUACAUGUAUAAAAAAAUAUUUUCAUAAGAUGUUAAAUGAGUGUUGUCAUGAACCAAAUGAAUAUAUAUAUAUUUGAGUUAUUCAGGCCUUGUGCCUAGUAGGUUUGGGACCGGUGAAGUGUAUACUAGGCUAAUAGCCUAAUUAGUUGGUGGCUGUCAAGUUUAUUCGGACUUUGGGUUAAGUAGGCUAGAACCUAUGUGUGGGGUUCGAGCCUAUACCUAGUAGGUUCAGACAGAUGAGUAAAUCGUGUUAUACCUAUGUGUGUUAUUACCGAAAUGAAAAGUAAGUGAGUAAAUGUAAAUUUUGUGGAUAUCUGUGAUUUAUUAUGAUCAAACUAAGAAUGUUUUGUUAGUUAAAGCACUGAAGCGUAAGUUCGGAGUUGAGGAAACUAGGUGGGGUCUAGAGAACUCAACGAGAGAAAGUUACCCUAUCCUAUUUGCCGGUAAGAUUUUCGGGGACGAACAUCCCUAAAGGAAGGGAGAGUUGUGACAGUCCUAAGUAGACCCUAGUCGAAAAGUGGUUUCGGGACCACGAAACCGAGUUUUAUAAAUAAUUGAAAGUUAUAUUCUAUGUUCACGAUGUGAGUAAAUGCAUGUGUAAAAAUUUCAAGCAUUAAUUUUGCCAUUUGUAUGUGAAAUUUUGAAACGGGACUUAUGUGAAACAUUGGUAAAAUAGGUUAGGUAAAUAUAUAAAGUGAUCUAAUAGAGCAUGUAUUCAAAAAUGUGGGCUUGCAUGUCAAAUUACCCACUUUUGAGAUGGUGGCCGGUCAUGAUAUGGUGUUAUAUAUAUAAUAUGUAUUGUGAUUUAAGAUAUUAUAUUACAAAUGAAUUAAUAAAAGAAAAAAAAAAGAGAUAUUAGAUAAUAGUUAGUGGGAGGAGAAACCAAAGUUGGUUCAUCCUUGUCCUCCAUUGCCGUAGACUAAAGGGAGGGAGAAGAAAGUUUGGUUGCUUUAAUUUUUGGCUUAGAAGAUGGCUAGAAUGAGGUAUGUAUUGAAUGAGUCUUGAAAAUCUAUGCAUGUUUGAGAUGAUUAGUUCAAACUCUACUUAUCACAUGGAUUAAACUUAGAAUUUUGAGGUUUGAGGUUUGAGAUUCGGUCAAUAAGCUUGAAACUCAUAGUAGUUUGUUUUGGUAAGCUUGGUAUACGGAUGAUAGAUGUGUUUUGGUUUUGGUUUGAUAAUGAUGUUAAUGAUGGUGAUUUUCGGUCAUGUAUUAACUUAAAUUGUAAGUAUGAUUUAUGGUAUAAUUUGUGUGAUGGAAUGGUCUUGAGAUUUGGCUUAAUUAAAUGGGUAAAAUGCUAAGUGCAUUAAAGAUGAUGUAAUGGUUAUUUCGGUUUAUGUGAAGUAAAUAUAGAUGAUGGUUAUAAGCUGUUUUAUGAUUUGAUAAUGGUGAUUAAAUCUUGUAGUUAAGUGUUUAGAUAUAUAUAUAUUAAUAAUGAAUUUAGUGUACUUGCUAUGUGAGAAAUAUGCAAUGCUAUAGGUAUUUGAUUAUUAGAUAUGGUUAUUCUAAGUUGAUUU